UACUGUUGGAAAUUUUCUGUUAAAACCUCUCUUCCAUGCACCGUGCAAGCGUUUUGCAUAAACUCUUCAAUGUGUGCUUCUUUGCUACAUGGAUGCUUCCAGGAUGGGCCAAAUUGAAGUUUCACAAGUACUGAGUCACUUAAGACUUUGAAGACAAGUGGCGGAGGGUAUUUAAGGAGUGUUUUCCAGACGCUGUAUGACAUCCCAGCUGGUCGCAUGAGGGGUAUGUGGCUGUUUCCAAAAUUCAACGGUCGUUGGUCUUGCAUUUUGUAGUCAGCUACAUUUGUUGGCAUAGAAAGCGUAAGACACUUUCGAAUCUAUAUCCUACGGUGUGCAUUUUCGUAUUGACCUUGUGCAUGUCAUUAGUUUGCCUUUCUUUGUCCUGCAACUCCCAAUGUUCAGCCGACACCUAGGAAACAACAUUUACCUUCUAACACGUGGAUUGUAAUGAAAGUGGACACAAUUAAAAUAAAGAGAACUGUUUGAUGUUUAUCUUAUCAGACCCACGUUUCUGUUUGUGAAACCUCUGCGAAAUUGCUUCUGUUUUGCUUGCCUUUUCACAAUUUCCGUCCUAAUUAUUUGAUUACCUUCUUCUGUAUAAUGAUUGGACUGCUGGUGGCUUCCCACGUGUGUGGCUUAAGCUGGGAGCAAAUACUUUUCUUAUGGACCAGGACUUGAAUGGGUAUCAACUCCAUCUUACGAACCAAGUUUCCUGAUGAAAGGGAUUGGCAUGUCAGUUUUCAGUGAUUAUUGCAGCAGACGCCUUUUCAUUUGUUGUACCAAUUCCGUUCCUUUUUUUUUAAAUAAAUAUU
Non-coding RNA from Cucurbita pepo subsp. pepo (vegetable marrow), 812 nucleotides. NCBI's taxonomy places the organism in Eukaryota, Viridiplantae, Streptophyta, Magnoliopsida, Cucurbitales, Cucurbitaceae. The record is from RefSeq and is a predicted model, not a curated record.